ACCGCCCGGGAAUUACGAGCAUAAGCUUAAAACCCAAAGGACUUGACGGUGUCCCACCCUCCUAGAGGAGCCUGUUUUAUAAUCGACACUACCCGAUAUACCCAACUGUUUUUUGAUUAUCAGCCUGUAUACCUCCGUCGCAAGCUUACCAUGUGAAUGACUCACAGCAAGCCCAAUGGAUAUUAUCCAAAACGUCAGGUCAAGGUGCAGCCUACAUAGCAGACAAAAAUGGGCUACAAUUUCUAUGUUAGAACAAACGAAAGGCCUCAUGAAACCUAGCCAAGAAGGCGGAUUUAGUAGUAAAAAGAAAAUAGAGAGUUCUUUUUAACAAAGCAAUGGGACGUGUACAAACCGCCCGUCACCCUCUUCAACACAAACUAAUAAGUAUAUAACACAUUUAUACAAAACAGAA
RNAcentral lists this ribosomal RNA (412 nucleotides) under Breviceps verrucosus (plaintive rain frog). RNAcentral describes it as "partial small subunit ribosomal RNA". It matches the Rfam family "Bacterial small subunit ribosomal RNA", at positions 868 to 1449 of the family's 1533-position model. Lineage: Eukaryota; Metazoa; Chordata; Amphibia; Anura; Brevicipitidae. The record is from RNAcentral.